This 3081-nucleotide long non-coding RNA is filed under the name Nicotiana benthamiana. RNAcentral's name for it is "long non-coding RNA (NBEN_LNC013238)". Lineage: Eukaryota; Viridiplantae; Streptophyta; Magnoliopsida; Solanales; Solanaceae. The record is from RNAcentral.
ACCCCAAAAGUAAAGGAUUCUCUCGCAUUUAAAAAUAAAGAAGUGUCAUAAGUAAACUUUUAUUCAUGGUGAAUGUUUAUAUUUAAAGAGAUUUUAGGGUUUAUUUUGGUGGCUAAGUCACACUCUUCUUAUAAAUAGGGGGUUAUAUUCUAUUGUAAUUCAUUCCAAAAUCAAUAAGAAUUAUCUUCUCUCUAUUUUUCUCUGCAAUACUCUUCUUCUUGUAUUGUUCAUUACACGUUAUCAGUACGAGACUCUAGCCGAUUGAGUAGAAGCUUUGAGAUUGAGCAUAAUUGUCGCACCCCGAACCUGGACCUGGACGUAACACGACACUCAGUGCCUGACUACAUGUGACCGAGCGAACCAACUGGCUGGCUGAAUCAAUAUGUGAUAUCAUAACAUACUCAAUGCAGAAGAUAAACUAACACAGCUAAUAUACUGAAAGUCUGUAUGCUAUACAUGGUGCCGAAAUACUAAUACAACUCUGAAACAUAUUUGUAGCCCACAUAGCUUAACAUGAAAAGCCUUAGACUCUGUCUAACUGUUACUCUAGUCUAUGAAGCCUCUAAUGAAGUACUGAAAAUAUUGACUAUCUAUAAAUACUGAAGGAUUGUAAAGCAAUGAUAAUGCCCCGAAAGAACUGGGGAUCACCAAACCGCUGAUACGAGAGUCCUAGCGCUCUGAAUCGUCGACCUGUAAAUCACUACCUGCAUUGUGAGAUGAAAGCCCCAGCAAAAGGGGUGUCGGUACAUUUGAAUUAUACUGGUAUGUAAGUCAACUUAAAGAAAUAACUAUAAAUGCUGAAACUAAUACUGAACUGAUAACUGAGAAUUGCUAAUUGAUAACUGAAAGGAUAGCUAUUGAAACUGAAACUGAAAAUGAUAAUUGAUAGCUGAUAACUGAAAUAUUAACUGAUAACUAUUAAAUGAAAUGAUAACUAAUAGCUGAUAACUGAAAUGUUAACUGAUAACUGAUAGCUAAUAACAUAAUAACUGAUAGCUGAACUGAACGAAGGAAGUAAGGUUAUGAAUAUUCUGAAUGAGGAACAACCUGUAUAUCUGAAUAAGCUAUAGCUUUGGGUCCAAUAUAUAUAUAUAUAUAUAUAUAUAUAUGUGUGUGUGUGUGUGUGUGUGUGUGUGUGUGUGCGCGCGCGCGCGCGCGCGCAUGGGCGCAAGCUACGGCCUCAGGCCCAAAAAUGCAUAAAGCAUAAACUACGGCCUCAGACCCAGACAUGUAUAAAGCAUAAACUACAGCCUCAGGCCCAAGUAUGCAUAAAGCAUAUAAAAUACAGCCUCAUGCCCAAAUAGAGGUGUUCAACAUUCAGGGAUUUAGAAUCAGGAACUGAGAAUCAUAUUGCAAGACAUAAUAAUGAAAUACUUAAUCACACUAAGUCACAUGAUACUGGAAUACUGGAUCACACUGAGUUACAUAAUACUGGAAUACUGAAUCAAACUGAGUUACAUAAUACUGGAAUACUGAAUAUGACUAGACUGAGACAUGUGUUCUUGAAUUGAUUAUGAACACUGAAACUUUAACUCUUUAUGACAUGCUGAGUAAGCUAUAGUGAGACUCAGGGACAUCGAACCCAAGUCUAUAUUGAAUAUGAACUGAGCUCACAAUGUUCGAAAUGAAAGUCAUGAACGAGUUAUGACGCUAGAGAAUAGAAGUUCUACAACUAUUCAAAGAACUAGGUUUAACUAUAUUUCUGAGGCAAUUGAUAACAUGGUAAAAGAAACGUAAUGUAGGGAGAAUCAUUAAUAUUCCCAAACAUAGAGAGUUAGCUUGACAUACCUUAACUUUCUGCUCUUGAACGUAAUACAACAUUCGCCAACCCUUUCAACUUUAAUCUAUAUCAAUAAAAGUCAAAGGGAUUUCAUAUUAGCAAUAGUUCUAAUAUGAAAUCCCUUCACUUAACAAUUUUCUCAAACACUUAGUGACAUAAAGCUUCAUAGUCCUUCUUAAUGAUGUCUUAUGAACUAGAGUCUAUAAUCAUUAACCCAAUAGUAUAAUCAAUUAGAGGAUGAAGACAUUACCUUUUUAAAGUUCAAUCCUCUAGAAUUCGAGUUCUAGAAUUUUUUCUCUCAACAAUGAUGCCCCAAUCGAAUAUCUAAUAAUUUGGACCCAUGUUAAUAAGAAGUUGAGAAAUUAACAUUAACUUAUAAUUACCAUUAGAACUUACCUUGGAUGGUGGAGGGACCUCUAAGGAGUUAGGUUUUCGAGAGUUCCCCAUUCUAGAGCAAGUGGGUUAUGGGGGACGAAAUAUGUCUUUAAUGCGACCCCUCACAAGCGCGCCCGCGCACCUAGAGACCUACCGGCACCACUGACAGCGCAAAACGGCAGUAGCAUUAACUCAAAAUUAGUGCGGUCGCGCUAUGGGUGUGCUACUGGGAGCACAUAUUGCAUACUACUCUGUAACAUGCACAUAACUUUUUGCACAGAGAUCUGUCCGGGCUCCAUAAUAUAUUCUUAGAAAUCUAUUUUAAUGCCCUACAACUUUCAUGCUUUGAGUUUUCCCAAAUUCCUUAUACAUUUUCACUAAACCCUGCUGGAAGACAUACCAUUUUAAUAUAUCCUUAUACAUUCUAUUACUAUAACUUGUAGCAGGAUAAUAUGUAUGUAAAAAGUUACCUGCUUUAUUCUUCAAUUUGUGCUACAUAAAUAAAAGAAUACAAUAAUGAAGUAGAAGUUUAUUGAUAUAAAAACUCAUAUCAUAACAAACUUGAAUUUUUUUUGAUACUUGCACACGUCAUGGUGUAAACUUGAAGUUUAUCAAUUUUGAUAAUUUAUCCAAUUGUCAUAAUUGAUAGAUUUGGGGCCAAAAGCGGUUAGCGGUGACCAUUGAAUAAGUUUCUUCGGCUUGAGUUGGGUUGAAAGCACGGAAUGUAUUUGCACCAUCACCGUCUUCAAAUAAAGUAUUUUCUACGGUAGCACCANNNNNNNNNNNNNNNNNNNNNNNNNNNNNNNNNNNNNNNNNNNNNNNNNNNAAUAAAGUAUUUUCUACGGUAGCACCAUGAAUGGCGCAUAGCAAAGCAGCGCCCAAUACACCGGCAACUCCCAUCAUAUGAAACGGGUUCAACGUCCAUC